UGCCAGCUUGCUGGUGGAUUAGUGGCGAACGGGUGAGUAACACGUGAGUAACCUGCCCUUAACUCUGGGAUAAGCCUGGGAAACUGGGUCUAAUACCGGAUAUGACCUUCCAUCGCAUGGUGGUUGGUGGAAAGCUUUUUGUGGUUUUGGAUGGACUCGCGGCCUAUCAGCUUGUUGGUGAGGUAAUGGCUUACCAAGGCGACGACGGGUAGCCGGCCUGAGAGGGUGACCGGCCACACUGGGACUGAGACACGGCCCAGACUCCUACGGGAGGCAGCAGUGGGGAAUAUUGCACAAUGGGCGCAAGCCUGAUGCAGCGACGCCGCGUGAGGGAUGACGGCCUUCGGGUUGUAAACCUCUUUCAGUAGGGAAGAAGCGAAAGUGACGGUACCUGCAGAAGAAGCGCCGGCUAACUACGUGCCAGCAGCCGCGGUAAUACGUAGGGCGCAAGCGUUAUCCGGAAUUAUUGGGCGUAAAGAGCUCGUAGGCGGUUUGUCGCGUCUGCCGUGAAAGUCCGGGGCUCAACUCCGGAUCUGCGGUGGGUACGGGCAGACUAGAGUGAUGUAGGGGAGACUGGAAUUCCUGGUGUAGCGGUGAAAUGCGCAGAUAUCAGGAGGAACACCGAUGGCGAAGGCAGGUCUCUGGGCAUUAACUGACGCUGAGGAGCGAAAGCAUGGGGAGCGA
Molecule: ribosomal RNA, 684 nt
Filed under: bacterium
Lineage: Bacteria
Description: bacterial SSU rRNA
Rfam family: Bacterial small subunit ribosomal RNA
Source: RNAcentral